UCUCUGAUUCAGCGGCGGACGGGUGAGUAAUGCCUAGGAAUCUGCCUGAUAGUGGGGGACAACGUUUCGAAAGGAACGCUAAUACCGCAUACGUCCUACGGGAGAAAGCAGGGGACCUUCGGGCCUUGCGCUAUCAGAUGAGCCUAGGUCGGAUUAGCUAGUUGGUGAGGUAACGGCUCACCAAGGCGACGAUCCGUAACUGGUCUGAGAGGAUGAUCAGUCACACUGGAACUGAGACACGGUCCAGACUCCUACGGGAGGCAGCAGUGGGGAAUAUUGGACAAUGGGCGAAAGCCUGAUCCAGCCAUGCCGCGUGUGUGAAGAAGGUCUUCGGAUUGUAAAGCACUUUAAGUUGGGAGGAAGGGCAUUAACCUAAUACGUUAGUGUUUUGACGUUACCGACAGAAUAAGCACCGGCUAACUUCGUGCCAGCAGCCGCGGUAAUACGAAGGGUGCAAGCGUUAAUCGGAAUUACUGGGCGUAAAGCGCGCGUAGGUGGUUUGUUAAGUUGAAUGUGAAAGCCCCGGGCUCAACCUGGGAACUGCAUCCAAAACUGGCAAGCUAGAGUAUGGCAGAGGGUGGUGGAAUUUCCUGUGUAGCGGUGAAAUGCGUAGAUAUAGGAAGGAACACCAGUGGCGAAGGCGACCACCUGGGCUAAUACUGACACUGAGGUGCGAAAGCGUGGGGGAGCAAACAGGAUUAGAUACCCUGGUAGUCCACGCCGUAAACGAUGUCGACUAGCCGUUGGGAUCCUUGAGAUCUUAGUGGCGCAGCUAACGCAUUAAGUCGACCGCCUGGGGAGUACGGCCGCAAGGUUAAAACUCAAAUGAAUUGACGGGGGCCCGCACAAGCGGUGGAGCAUGUGGUUUAAUUCGAAGCAACGCGAAGAACCUUACCA
RNAcentral lists this ribosomal RNA (897 nucleotides) under gamma proteobacterium BAL372. RNAcentral describes it as "bacterial SSU rRNA". It matches the Rfam family "Bacterial small subunit ribosomal RNA", at positions 84 to 976 of the family's 1533-position model. Lineage: Bacteria; Pseudomonadati; Pseudomonadota; Gammaproteobacteria. The record is from RNAcentral.